UUCAAGCCAGAAGACUACAAUCUGGAGAGCAAGGACAAGACCUAUGCAGCAAGCUUACUAAAAGGCAAACCUCAGGGCACUUUUCUCUUACGACAGGGAAAUAGCACCCCGCAUGUACUAUGCGUGGUUGUAGACGGAAGCGUCAAGGAAUUCCAAGUUUUCCAAGAGACCCCGGGACGAAUUACUUUGAACAAGGACAAAUAUUUCCCUCACCUGGACAACUUGUUGUUGUUCUACAACCAGAACAAUCUCCCAAAGAAAGAGUAUGCGGUGAAGUUGUCGAAAGGAUAUAAUGCGCGUUGAUGGAGUUUAUAAAGUUAAUGACGUAAACGACGCCUACUAUGCCGUGACACGUAGGUUAACCCUUUCAGCGCUGGAACUGAAUUUUAAAGGCCGUUGCAAACAGUUUGGAUCCAGAUGAGAUGCCACAGAAUGUGGCGUCUCAUCAGGAUCCAAACUGUUUGCUAUUCUUAUAGUAUUCUUUGAAAAAAAAUCGAAGAAAAUUCUAAUUUUAGAAAUUCAGCUGACGACAUUUUAGCAGACGACAAAUUUCCCAGCAUGCAAAGGGUUAAGUGUGGGCAAAUUAAUGUCAUUGUGGUGUGACCGCAUAGCUGAGGGUCAACAAGUGACCAAAGCAAAACACUUUUAAUGUGAUCCUAUUUGAGAGUAGUGAAUACGUAUAUUAACGUGACUUAUAGAUGUAAUUUAUUAUAUUUCUGUAUUUUAUAAUUAAGAAAUAGUAAACUCUACUGAGGUCCCUAUGGCAUUAUAGUGACCAGCCAGGCACCCACAAACCGUAUAUGGACCGAAGCCGAAGGCUAAGGUCCAUAUACAGUUUGUGGCUGCCUGGCUGGUCACUAUAAUGCCAUUGGGACCGAAGUGGAGUUUACUAUUUCUUAUAUUACACCGAAGAGUUUCCCCUUUACCAUUGUGCAGUGUUGUACGAUUGUUUAUAGUUUAUAUCUAAAAGAGAUAAACAGAAGAAUUUCGCAGGAAUAAUGACGUCAUUUUACAGUAAAACAGUGCAAAUUUAGUGUUGUGUAACUCCGAACGGUCCAUAUACAAAAAAUAGUGACCGGUCCAUAUACUAUAAGUUCCUCUAUCGCAUUUUAUAGACUGAAACCGGUCAUAUAGAUAUAGAAGGACCAAUAUCUCUGAGGUGUAAUAUUGGUCAAUAUGUGAACGUGGUCGUAUUUGACGUUAGUGAACAUAUUGACGUAUUCACGGCCCUCGGUGAACGUAUCCAUUAACAUUUUACGUCAGUGAGAAACUCUACGUGGUUUACCUUUAUUGAACACAUGUAUGCGGCCAUAUUUUACUUAAGCGACGAUUGUUUAGUGGACAAAUUCUAUUUGUGUUUAUAAAUAUACGUUAUGAUACGUGAUGUAGAUGUGGAUAUCACGUUGACAUUUAAUUUGUAAACUUUUUUUUAGAUAUGCAAAGUAAUUUGUAAAAACAUAUACAUGUAUUCGUUGUACAUUUUUAGUUUUAAAAAGUCAUAAUAUUUUCAUUAUUUUCGAAUGAAGACAAUGUAAGAAAACGGCAUUACAUGACUGGAAUUUGAAAAUUUAUAAAUUAUAACUUAAAACGGAAUGAUACGUGUUUCCUAAAUUGUACUUGCCAGGUUGUUGCUGUUAAACUGUAAUUCGGGUAUUUUUUCGCAAAUGGUUGAUUUUACAUAUUUAUUUUAAAAGACAUUCUUAUGAUUUCUUUAAACGUCAAUGACACAUUUUACUUGCAUCGCAACUAGGUUGUAUUUGCAACUACAGAGUAUUUGUUUUACAAUAAAAAAAACACAUUCCUUUAUGACGCUAAAGAAGUAACCGUUAAUGUUUAGUUUGUUUAGUUGAAUCGUUCGCAGUUUCCAACAGUAGUUCAGUAAUAUUUCUGCGGGCAUUUCAUUAACGUAAACUCUCCCAAAAUUAUUUGGGCUACCAGUACAAAAAGAAUGAAGUUAAGCCACCGAUUUACAUUUUGCCUAUCCAAGUAGCGUUAGAAAGGUGUUAGAAAGCAUGUUUUCCAGGCGUCACAUUGUCCUCUUAUGGACCAUAAUCAGAACCAUGACGAAGCUUUAACCCUUGACCACUUAGAUACGUAUUCUGACGAAUGUGUAGUCCCUUAGAAAUUUAAUUGAAGGCCUUUCGUACUCGAUCAACGUUUUAAAGGUUUCAGUUCCAACCCAUAGAUACUGAUGACCAGCAAACAGCAUAAAACCUGAACAGAUUGCGAGUUACUCGCAGGCUGUUCUGGUUUUAUGCUGUUUGCACAUUUUCACUUAGCUUCUAAGUGGGAAAGGGUUAAGCCAGUAAUUAACUGUUGAAUGUACUGCCUUAAAAUAAAUAAACGCAAUGUUAUAAAUGUCGAUUGAGAUCUUCGCGAAAAGCAAACCCGCACGGGUUGAAAGUAUCCUUUCUCGACUCCCAUUGAAUGUAAACAAUGAAUAUAUUUCAUUGAUUGAUGUGUGGAUUAAAAUGAUGAGCGUUUAUACAUAUUGGCUGUCAAAACAGGUUUGAAAAUCAAGCUUGUGUACUUUUCGUAACGCUAUAUUUAUUCCUUGUACAGCGUGCUUGAUCAAAUGUUGUAGGCACUGAUAAAUACGCAAUUAAAGGGGCAAUGUCUUUGAAAAUAAUUGUAAAUUUAGAUCAAGUUAUGUUAAUUUAAUUUGCUUUAUACAUGUAAUACUCUAAGUUACCCUGUUACUUACCUCGUUAUCACAACAUAUGAUCAAAUUGUUAAAAACACACUAGCAUUACUGUUAAAAAGGUUGAAUUAUUUAUUCCCUACGUGUCCUUACUAAUUGUUUGCACACAAAACAGGCAUACCUAUAAUAAAAAAAUGCUUUAUACUCGAUACAAAAUUACAAAUAAUCCAAACAUCUUUGAUAUAUUCGAUUUAUUCCUGUUACAGUUUUGUUUCCGAACAAUCUCUCUCUUUUCUAAUGUCCAUUCAUGUAAGUAUUCCGAUGAAUAUAAUAUGAAAUUAAGCGUCAUAAAUAUAAAACUAUGGAACAGACAUAUUAGAACAUUAGUGCAUUUCUAUAGUUCAUUUUGAAUUUUGGUAAUAUGUUGCUUGAAAAACAUUUUUUUAAAACGUGUUGUAACUAAACGAUCUGUACAUUAACAAAGAUGGCAUUGAUGUCACAGGUAUUGUUCCUCUAUUUCAACUACCUCGUGAGUGUAUUGUGUCUAAUCUUGUUUUAUAACAUAUCUUACUUCCUUAUAUUCAAAACUUCGUUAGUUGGUGAAAUAGUAAUCGUUAACAAUUUCCAAUUGGUUUUCAAUGGACGAAUAAUAUAAAAUUAUGGUUGUAUGAUUUAGAGAAAAAAGUUUUCGAAUGUAAUAAUGUGCUCUCAAUGUGAGCUAUCAAAAUAAUAUCCAUGAUUGUUGUUAUUUUCCUUGACUUAAAUGCUGCUUGGUAUGAUUUUGUUAUGCUAUGCAUUACUACGCUUCAUUGCAAACUUACAUGUUGUUAACGAACGACAAGAACAACUGCUUUUCAUACAUUUUUACGUUGUUAAUCUCUGUGUGAUAGAUAACGUAAUACAUUGAAUUAAGGAAAUAUUCCAAGUAUUGGAACUCGCUUAUCGCAUGACCUAAUUUUAUUAAUUUACUUAUUUAUAGAUAUAUUGAUAUAAAAUCAUGUUCUGUAUAUUAAAUGUUUGAAUAAAUGUAUAUUAUUUCCAUAAAUGUUGCAAUAAAAUGAUGAAAUCAGA
Dreissena polymorpha is the source of this 3712-nucleotide long non-coding RNA. RefSeq lists it as uncharacterized. The transcript has 4 exons. NCBI's taxonomy places the organism in Eukaryota, Metazoa, Mollusca, Bivalvia, Myida, Dreissenidae. The record is from RefSeq and is a predicted model, not a curated record.